CCUACGGGAGGCGGCAGUGGGGAAUUUUGGACAAUGGGGGCAACCCUGAUCCAGCAAUGCCGCGUGAGUGAAGAAGGCCCUCGGGUUGUAAAGCUCUUUUGUCAGGGAAGAAACGGUCUACUCUAAUACAGUGGGCUAAUGACGGUACCUGAAGAAUAAGCACCGGCUAACUACGUGCCAGCAGCCGCGGUAAUACGUAGGGUGCAAGCGUUAAUCGGAAUUACUGGGCGUAAAGCGUGCGCAGGCGGUUUUAUAAGACAGAGGUGAAAUCCCCGGGCUCAACCUGGGAACUGCCUUUGUGACUGUAAGGCUAGAGUGUGUCAGAGGGGGGUAGAAUUCCACGUGUAGCAGUGAAAUGCGUAGAUAUGUGGAGGAAUACCGAUGGCGAAGGCAGCCCCCUGGGAUAACACUGACGCUCAUGCACGAAAGCGUGGGGAGCAAACAGGAUUAGAUACCCUGGUAGUCCACGCCCUAAACGAUGUCUACUAGUUGUCGGGACUUAAUUGUCUUGGUAACGCAGCUAACGCGUGAAGUAGACCGCCUGGGGAUACGGUCGCAAGAUUAAAACUUAAAUGAAUUGACGG
RNAcentral lists this ribosomal RNA (584 nucleotides) under uncultured bacterium. Its description in RNAcentral is "bacterial SSU rRNA". It matches the Rfam family "Bacterial small subunit ribosomal RNA", at positions 338 to 916 of the family's 1533-position model. The record is from RNAcentral.